AGUGAAUAGAACGAAGUUUAAUAAGAGCUCUACGAAUGCAUAUUAUUAUAUAUAUGCAUAUUGUAAAACACCUACCAGGAAACAGAUCUUUGAUGUUGCACCACGAAGAUGCUUAGAUACUGCCUGAUUUUCAGCACUUUGAAUAUUUCAACAAGAUAACAGAAAGUUUCAAGUUUCAAGAAAGACUAACCAUGAUUCCUUCCCUGGAAUCGUACGUAAUCGGCUUUGUGAGACAUUAGCAUAAUCAUAAAAAGGAAUACGAUGAUUUAAUUUGCUCACCUAGCUAAAAUUAUUUGUGGUAACUAUUGGUAGAAAUUUUCCCAAUUUUCACGAGGCGAUUGGAUGAUUGGGAAGAAUCAUACGGAACGAAGCGAUAUCGAUUCGCCUCUUCUCUGCGCGAACGUGACAUGCCGUCUGCUUUCUGCCUUAACAAAGUACAACGAAUGUGAAUAUCGGCGAAAAUAAGCGGAAAGGAA
Camponotus floridanus (Florida carpenter ant) is the source of this 476-nucleotide long non-coding RNA. RefSeq lists it as uncharacterized. NCBI's taxonomy places the organism in Eukaryota, Metazoa, Arthropoda, Insecta, Hymenoptera, Formicidae. The record is from RefSeq and is a predicted model, not a curated record. The transcript is spliced from 3 exons.